This 1589-nucleotide ribosomal RNA is filed under the name Candidatus Omnitrophota bacterium. RNAcentral's name for it is "bacterial SSU rRNA". It matches the Rfam family "Bacterial small subunit ribosomal RNA". The record is from RNAcentral. Lineage: Bacteria; Pseudomonadati; Candidatus Omnitrophota.
CCUUUGGAGGGUUUGAUCCUGGCUCAGAGUGAACGCUGGCGGCGUGGAUUAGGCAUGCAAGUCGAGCGAUCCUAAUUUGCAAAGUAAAUCGCGGUUUUCGGACCAAAGUUUAUGGAGUAAAUUUAGAUAGCGGCAAACCGGUGAGGAACACGUGGGUAACGUACCUUGGGAAGAGAGAUAGCCAAUCGAAAGGUUGGGUAAUACCUCGUACGCUCUAAAAUCUGGAAUGGUUUCAGAGGAAAGAUGGCCUCUACUUGUAAGCUAUCGUCCUAAGAGCGACCCGCGGCCUAUCAGGUAGUUGGUAAGGUAACGGCCUACCAAGCCUAAGACGGGUAGCUAGCCUGAGAGGGUGUUUAGCCACAUCGGGACUGAGACACUGCCCGGACUCCUACGGGAGGCUGCAGUCGAGAAUAUUUUUCAAUGGGCGAAAGCCUGAAAAUGCGACGCCGCGUGGGGGAUGAAGGUUUUCGGAUUGUAAACCCCUUUUAUUGGAGACGAAAGCUCUUGGUGUGAAUAAUGCCAAGGGUGUGCCUGUACCCAAUGAAUAAGCCACGGCUAACUCCGUGCCAGCAGCCGCGGUAAUACGGAGGUGGCGAGCGUUACUCGGAUUAACUGGGUGUAAAGGGUCUGUAGGCGGCUAAAUAAGUGGGAGGUGAAAUCUUUCGGCUUAACCGGAAAACUGCCUCUCAAACUAUUUGGCUUGAGACUGGAAGAGGAGAGUGGAAUUGUCGGUGUAAGGGUGAAAUCUGUGGAUAUCGACAAGAACGCCUGUGGGGAAGCCGACUCUCUGGUCCAGAACUGACGCUGAGGGACGAAAGCUAGGGGAAUCAAUAGGAUUAGAUACCCUAGUAGUCCUAGCUGUAAACGAUGGGCACUAGGUAUCUGUCCGUAAGGAUGGGUGCCGUAGUUAACAUGUUAAGUGCCCCACCUGGGGACUACGGCCGCAAGGCUAAAACUCAAAGGAAUUGACGGGGGCCCGCACAAGCGGUGGAACACGUGGUUUAAUUCGAUGCUACGCGAGGAACCUUACCAGGGUUUGACAUGCUGGUAGUAAUUACCCGAAAGGGUGGAUGACCUGUAUCCAAUCAGGACCCAGCACAGGUGCUGCAUGGCUGUCGUCAGCUCGUGCCGUGAGGUGUUCCCUUAAGUGGGAAAACGAGCGCAACCCUCGCUAUUAGUUGCUACCCCAACAUAACGUUGGGGGCACUCUAAUGGGACUGCCCGCGUUAAGUGGGAGGAAGGUGGGGACGACGUCAAGUCCGCAUGGCCCUUAUGUCCUGGGCUACACACGUGUUACAAUGCCUGCUACAACGGGAAGCGAAACCGUAAGGUGGAGCAGAGCCUUAAAAAGCAGGCCCAGUUCGGAUUAAGGGCUGCAAUUCGCCCUUAUGAAGUUGGAAUCGCUAGUAAUGGCGCAUCAGCUACGGCGCCGUGAAUACGUUCCCGGGCCUUGUACACACCGCCCGUCAAGCGCUGAAAAUAGGGGGCACCUGAAUCCCAACGUUUGUUGGUACACGGUGAACUUUGUGAUUGGCGCUAAGUCGUAACAAGGUAGCCGUACGGGAACGUGCGGCUGGAUCACCUCCUUU